UACGUAGGGUGCAAGCGUUGUCCGGAAUUAUGGGGCGUAAAGAGCUCGUAGGCGGUCUGUCGCGUCGGAUGUGAAAAUCCAGGGCUCAACCCUGGACCUGCAUUCGAUACGGGCAGACUAGAGUUCGGCAGGGGAGACUGGAAUUCCUGGUGUAGCGGUGAAAUGCGCAGAUAUCAGGAGGAACACCGGUGGCGAAGGCGGGUCUCUGGGCCGAUACUGACGCUGAGGAGCGAAAGCGUGGGGAGCGAACAGG
This 253-nucleotide ribosomal RNA is filed under the name uncultured bacterium. Its description in RNAcentral is "partial 16S ribosomal RNA". It matches the Rfam family "Bacterial small subunit ribosomal RNA", at positions 524 to 776 of the family's 1533-position model. The record is from RNAcentral.